UAAGUAGAGGCAACCGGAAUCCGUCCCGGACAACGGAAACCGGCCAUGACGACGGUAAAAGAUUGGGCAACCGGAAAAAAGUUUCAGCCAUAGUACUACACUACUCUCAUCCCCUUGCCCUCAAUCAGAGAUAUUUAGAACUCAUGUUUCAGAGUCCACAGAUUUGACCAAGACGCUACUGAGAGUUCAGCUAAGUCAUCUGAAGUUCCCUAUGGAGCCAAAAGACGUAAAAUUGCAUCUGGAAGGAUUAAGCUUUGGCGUUGCUAUGGAACAAGAAGCAGAACAAACAAAUUACAUGACAGAUGGCUAGUAAAUGUGAAGAAUUUAAACCUAUUGGGCAAUAACAGUUUAAUUAAGUCAUUCGGUAGCAAAUUAGUUCGGCAAAGUAUGAUUACUCCUGUACAUUCUGCUGCGGAAACUGAAGAUACAAGGAAAUCAUUCAACGUCCUGCAAUGGGAGAAUCUGUAGAGCGUGGAUGGUAUGAUCAUCGCAAAAUAGGAUAACUGAGUGCUUCAGAAGCGAGCAGGGCCACUAAAGCUGCCAAAAUAUUAAUGCCAGUAAAUCCUUACUUGCAGAUUCUUGACUGGGAACCUAGCCGAUUUUCUUAGGCAUAUAUCUGAAGAAUCACCUGAUAAAGCCACUCUAAAGGGUCUUUCUGGAGGAACUUGGAAUGUGAAACUACAAUGUGAUGGAAGAGGGCUUUCUUAUACACAAAGGUUGGAAGAAAUUUCAGAAAAAUUACCAACUAGAAUAUGGGGAAUUUCUCUGUUUGGGUACGAGACGCUGCUAUUUACAGUAAGAAUUUUCAGCAAGAAUGGACUUGAGAGAGGUAUGAAGUCAACGGCCAUGGGAAAAAAUCAACAAGCUUCAAAUAUGCUGGGGGAAGGAAGCGAAAAAGGCCAGAAAAAUAACCUUACAGUUUUAAAUUCCCUAGACAGAGUUGUGUGGACGUCGAAAAUGGCACAGGUUUAUGAGCAAAAGUGGUGGAUCCAUUAUAUCAGAAUUCUUCAGUGCAGAAUUUAGGAGUGCAGUACUUAGCACUAUGAGAGCUUCGGACAUGGUGAUUCGUGGUGAGGGACAUCAUCGUCCAAAGCUUGAAGUGCAGAGUUUUGGGUGCAUAUUUUGAGAAGCUGGGCUCAAAAUCUUUUGUUGUAUAUUCAAUUGCGGUUACUGAUGCCAAUAACAGUACUUGGUUUGUAAAGAGAAGGAUCUCUUGUCAAUUGCCAAUGUGGCAGAGCAACAUAAAGUGAAGGAUUUUCUCAGUGCCUCUUCCAAGUUAACGUGGAUGAUGCUGUGGAUGAUAUUGUACGUCCAUUUUAAGGUGUUUCUGAUGGCUUGAUGUGUAAAGUUGUUGACUCUCCUUCAUCUUCUUCUUAUAAACCUACUACCUCUACUUCAGACAGAAAUUUGUUUUGGAACGUGGAGGAAAUACAUAAACUGGCUUUAACACAAAGUAACUCUGAGUCAGUUAAUAGUUUCUCUGACAAUGAUGACGGUGAUAAAGAUGGAAGCCGCCACAGGCAUGAUGAAGUAGGACCUAGUUCAGAAGACAUGGGCAGCAUUUGGACAAUGAGUUGAAUUCAAAAGGAUUUACCCCUUGGGUGGUUAAACAUGACGAAGAGCUGAUAAGCUCAGCAACGGACUUGAAGAAUGGUUCUAGGCUACAAUGUGAUUCUUUCAGUUCUGGAGGAUUUCCGGUGACAAAUUUGAUAGUAGUUCCCAGUCAAGAAGAGGAUCCAGUUGGAGUGCCACCAGAGUGGACACCGCCCAAUUUAAGUGUACCUAUAUUAAAUUUUGCGGACAAGAUUUUUCAGCUGAACAGAAGAGGCUGGCUAAGGAGAUAGGUAUUUUGGAUAUCAUAGGAAAUUAUGCAGUUAAUGAUGGAGGAUGCUAUUGUCGAUUGGCUGUUAAGGCAAAUGCAUUGGCUAUGAGAGAGGAUGUUAUUGCUCGGGGAAUCAAAUGGAUUCAAGAUAACUCAUGUUUCAGAGUCCACAUAUUUGAUUAAGCCGCUACUCAGAGUUCAGCUAAGUCAUCUGAACUUCCCUAUGGAGUUAAAAGACGUAAAAUUGCAUCUGGAAGGAUUAAACUUUGGCGUUGCUAUGAAACAAGAUGCAGAACAAACAAAUUACAUGACAGACUGCUAUUAAAUGCGAAGAAUUUAAACCUAUCGGGCAAUAGCAGUUUAAUUAAGUCACUCGGUGGAAAAUUAGUUCGGCGAAGUAUGAAAACUCCUGUACAUAUGCAGUGGAGACUGGAGGUAUGACUUAUCCAAAUAAUACACAAGAGGGAAUUGAAAACAAUAUACUUCAUGUCAAUGAAAGUAGAUAUACAGAGACUCCAGAUGCAUUUGGACUAGUAUCUUCAAAUAAAACCAAUUGCAAGACUGGCUAGUUUGUUUUUGCGACAAAAUAUUGCAAGUUUGAAAUUUUAUUUGCAUCGUAUUGAGAGCUAAUUUGAUAAAUUGCAGAUAACAAGGAAAUCAUUUACAGUCCAGCAAUGGGAAAAUCUGUAGAGCGUGGAUGCUAUGAUCAUCGCAAAAGUGGACAACCGAGUUGGAGGUUUAAAAUUUGCUGGAGAGUAGGAGGAAAUAAGACAACAAUUGUUCUCCAUAAAUCAGAAGGAAAAGAGUGGAAAGUAUAUCGUAUAUCACUAAAAGGAUAUCGCGCUUUAUGUGGAGGAUGGAAACAGUUUUUGAGUGAUAACAAGCUUAAUAAAGGACAUGUCUGUGUGUUUCAGCUUGUCAAUACAAAUGAACUGAAGGUUUCAUUUUCAACGAUCAUCCGAAAUCUCUGUUGAACUUGCUGCAUAAAGAUGUG
Long non-coding RNA from Solanum stenotomum, 2816 nucleotides. RefSeq lists it as uncharacterized. NCBI's taxonomy places the organism in Eukaryota, Viridiplantae, Streptophyta, Magnoliopsida, Solanales, Solanaceae. The transcript has 10 exons. The record is from RefSeq and is a predicted model, not a curated record.